AUUGAACGCUGGCGGCAUGCCUUACACAUGCAAGUCGAACGGUAACAGGGAGCUUGCUCCGCUGACGAGUGGCGAACGGGUGAGUAAUGUAUCGGAACGUACCUUUUAGUGGGGGAUAACGUAGCGAAAGUUACGCUAAUACCGCAUAUUCUCUGAGGAGGAAAGAAGGGGACCUUCGGGCCUUGCGCUAAUAGAGCGGCUGAUAUCGGAUUAGCUAGUUGGUGAGGUAAAGGCUCACCAAGGCGACGAUCUGUAGCGGGUCGGAGAGGAUGAUCCGCCACACGGGGACUGAGACACGGUCCAGACUCCUACGGGAGGCAGCAGUGGGGAAUUUUGGACAAUGGGGGCAACCCUGAUUCAGCCAUGCCGCGUGAGUGAAGAAGGCCUUCGGGUUGUAAAGCUCUUUCGGCCGGGAAAAAAUCGCAUGGGCUAAUACCCUGUGUGGAUGAUGGUACCGGAAUAAGAAGCACCGGCUAACUACGUGCCAGCCGCCGCCGUAA
This 500-nucleotide ribosomal RNA is filed under the name uncultured bacterium. RNAcentral describes it as "partial 16S ribosomal RNA". It matches the Rfam family "Bacterial small subunit ribosomal RNA", at positions 30 to 523 of the family's 1533-position model. The record is from RNAcentral.